Molecule: ribosomal RNA, 833 nt
Filed under: uncultured archaeon
Lineage: Archaea
Description: bacterial SSU rRNA
Rfam family: Archaeal small subunit ribosomal RNA
Source: RNAcentral
AGGUCACUGCUAUCGGUGUCCGAUUAAGCCAUGCGAGUCGUGAGGGGUAAAGCCCUCGGCAUACUGCUCAGUAACACGUGGAUAAUCUACCCAAAGGUCUGGGAUAACCCCGGGAAACUGGGGAUAAGACCGGAUAGGCCAAUACGUCUGGAAUGUGUGUUGGCUGAAAGGUAACGCCUUUGGAUGGGUCUGCGGCGGAUUAGGUAGACGCCGGUGUAACGUACCGGCGUGCCUGUAAUCCGUACGGGUUGUGGGAGCAAGAGCCCGGAGAUGGAUUCUGAGACACGAAUCCAGGCCCUACGGGGCGCAGCAGGCGCGAAGACUCUACAAUGCAGGCAACUGCGAUAGGGGGACAUCGAGUGGCACCCACCUUGGGUGUCUGUCCAACCGUCUAAAAAACGGUUGUUAGCAAGGGCCGGGUAAGACCGGUGCCAGCCGCCGCGGUAAUACCGGCGGCUCGAGUGGUGGCCGAUAUUAUUGAGUCUAAAGGGUCCGUAGCCGGCUUUGCAAGUCCUCUGGGAAAUCCAGCGGCUUAACCGUUGGGCUUCCAUGGGAAACUACAUUGCUUGGGACUGGGAGAGGUAGGAGGUACUCGAGGGGUAGGGGUGAAAUCCUGUAAUCCUUCGGGGACCACCGGUGGCGAAAGCGUCCUACCAGAACAGGUCCGACGGUGAGGGACGAAAGCUAGGGGCACGAACCGGAUUAGAUACCCGGGUAGUCCUAGCCGUAAACGAUGCCCGCUAGGUGUCACGGCGGUCGUGAAUCGCCGUGGUGCCGUAGGGAAGCCGCGAAGCGGGCCACUUGGGAAGUACGGCCGCAAGGCUGAAACUUAA